CCUACGGGAGGCAGCAGUGAGGAAUAUUGGGCAAUGGAGGAGACUCUGACCCAGCCAUGCCGCGUGUAGGAAGAAUGCCCUAUGGGUUGUAAACUACUUUUAUACAGGAAGAAACACUGGUAUGUAUACCAGCUUGACGGUACUGUAAGAAUAAGGACCGGCUAACUCCGUGCCAGCAGCCGCGGUAAUACGGAGGGUCCAAGCGUUAUCCGGAAUCAUUGGGUUUAAAGGGUCCGCAGGCGGUCAAUUAAGUCAGAGGUGAAAUCCCGUCGCUCAACGACGGAACUGCCUUUGAUACUGGUUGACUUGAGUCAUAUGGAAGUAGAUAGAAUGUGUAGUGUAGCGGUGAAAUGCAUAGAGAUUACACAGAAUACCGAUUGCGAAGGCAGUCUACUACGUAUGUACUGACGCUGAGGGACGAAAGCGUGGGGAGCGAACAGGAUUAGAUACCCUGGUAGUCCACGCCGUAAACGAUGGAUACUAGUUGUUGGGCAAUAGCUCAGUGACUAAGCGAAAGUGAUAAGUAUCCCACC
Molecule: ribosomal RNA, 533 nt
Filed under: uncultured Bacteroidota bacterium
Lineage: Bacteria; Pseudomonadati; Bacteroidota
Description: bacterial SSU rRNA
Rfam family: Bacterial small subunit ribosomal RNA
Source: RNAcentral